This 520-nucleotide ribosomal RNA is filed under the name uncultured bacterium. RNAcentral describes it as "bacterial SSU rRNA". It matches the Rfam family "Bacterial small subunit ribosomal RNA", at positions 28 to 487 of the family's 1533-position model. The record is from RNAcentral.
GACGAACGCUGGCGGCGUGGAUUAGGCAUGCAAGUCGAACGGUAUAAACCUUUCGGGGUUUAGAGAGUGGCGAACGGGUGAGUAACACGUAGGUAAUCUACCCUCAAAACGGGGACAACCCAGGGAAACUUGGGCUAAUACCGGAUGCGUGCAAGCAAUGUUUUGGUUGUUAAUGCUAUUCACGGAAGUGAGUAGUGUUAAUGGUUGAGAGCAUUAUUUGCAUAAAAGGUGGCAUAUGCUGCCGUUUGAGGAUGAGCCUGCGUCCUAUUAGUUAGUUGGUGAGGUAAUGGCUUACCAAGGCGAUGAUAGGUAGGCGGCCUUAACGGGUGGUCGCCCACACUGGGAUUGAGAGACGGCCCAGACUCCUACGGGAGGCAGCAGUCGAAAAUAAGUCUACAAUGGACGGAAGUCUGAUAGUGCGACGCCGCGUGAACGAAGAAUCCCUUCGGGUGUAAAGUUCUUUAUACGUGAGCAGUGCCCUUAUAUGAAUAGUAUAGAGGAGGGAUUUAAGCGUAUGAAU